ACGAACGCUGGCGGCGUGCCUAAUACAUGCAAGUCGAACGCUUCUUUCCUCCCGAGUGCUUGCACUCAAUUGGAAAGAGGAGUGGCGGACGGGUGAGUAACACGUGGGUAACCUACCCAUCAGAGGGGGAUAACACUUGGAAACAGGUGCUAAUACCGCAUAACAGUUUAUGUCGCAUGGCAUAAGAGUGAAAGGCGCUUUCGGGUGUCGCUGAUGGAUGGACCCGCGGUGCAUUAGCUAGUUGGUGAGGUAACGGCUCACCAAGGCCACGAUGCAUAGCCGACCUGAGAGGGUGAUCGGCCACACUGGGACUGAGACACGGCCCAGACUCCUACGGGAGGCAGCAGUAGGGAAUCUUCGGCAAUGGACGAAAGUCUGACCGAGCAACGCCGCGUGAGUGAAGAAGGUUUUCGGAUCGUAAAACUCUGUUGUUAGAGAAGAACAAGGACGUUAGUAACUGAACGUCCCCUGACGGUAUCUAACCAGAAAGCCACGGCUAACUACGUGCCAGCAGCCGCGGUAAUACGUAGGUGGCAAGCGUUGUCCGGAUUUAUUGGGCGUAAAGCGAGCGCAGGCGGUUUCUUAAGUCUGAUGUGAAAGCCCCCGGCUCAACCGGGGAGGGUCAUUGGAAACUGGGAGACUUGAGUGCAGAAGAGGAGAGUGGAAUUCCAUGUGUAGCGGUGAAAUGCGUAGAUAUACGGAGGAACACCAGUGGCGAAGGCGGCUCUCUGGU
Molecule: ribosomal RNA, 733 nt
Filed under: uncultured Bacilli bacterium
Lineage: Bacteria; Bacillati; Bacillota; Bacilli
Description: bacterial SSU rRNA
Rfam family: Bacterial small subunit ribosomal RNA
Source: RNAcentral